This is a long non-coding RNA of Ficedula albicollis (Collared flycatcher), 1855 nucleotides long. Lineage: Eukaryota; Metazoa; Chordata; Aves; Passeriformes; Muscicapidae. The record is from Ensembl.
AAUUUAUUUUGCUCAGAUACCGGGUGCGGACAGCCGGGUGGCGGGUACGGAAGAACAGAUUAGUGCUCUCUCACCACACUCACGGCAGCACGGCAGCCGAAAUAGCUCAGUUGGGAGAGCGUUAGACUGAAGAUCUAAAGGUCCCUGGUUCGAUCCCGGGUUUCGGCAGAAGCUUUUUGUUUUCGGCAGAAGUUUUUGUGGGUUUUUUUUUUUUUUUUUCUUUUACCCUCAAGCCGGUUCCUUUUGCUGCGGAGCGGAGAGGGCGGGGGCUGCUGUCCCUCCAUCGGGCGGCUGAGCCGGUGCCAACGCAGGCGCUCCCGUGUGCGGCACCUUGUGUCAGGAGCCUCUUCCCGAAGGACGGCGGCGGUGGAGCGAGUCCUGCGGGCAUGACCUGGCCUGAGAGGGGCCGUUUCCCACCCGUCCUCGUUAGUAUAGUGGCCUUUGUGAACACACACGGCUUUUGUGUCCCACUGUGCACAGGAGCACCAAAAAGAAGGACAAAACACCAAACACCAAAAUGCAGAGGGGACAGUGGCCUCUCAUCCCAGGCUGACACUGCCACACAGAGCUCAGGGGCUCUGCUCCACAUUCCCAGAGCCGAAGGGGAAGGACAGAAGCCAGGACACCAGAGCUGACUGCACUCCUGGCGGUGACACUGCUUGGGAAGAGCUCUCAGGGAAACAACCACACUGCUUUGAUCUCCUCUGGCUGGCUGGGGAGUCUCUGUGGGGCUGGGAGGGCUCAGAGCUACAAGAAACAACCACCCUGCUUUGAUCUCCUCUGGCUGGCUGGGGAAUCUCUGUGGGGCUGGGAGGGCUCAGAGCUACAGCCCAGCUGAGAGGUUUAGUCCAGAGAAACCAAAGCCCACGCAGAGCCUGAGGCAGCUCUGAUACCACAGCUCAGUGGCAGCUGUUCUGUCUCACUGCCUGGUUAGAACAGCAGCAGGAGCUGACUGCUGACAAAUGCAAAGUGACACUUCCUGCCACUGCGGCUGAAAAGCUCCUUGUGCUAUUUAUUUACUCAUCUUACUUCCAGUUGUUAUUUUGAGCCAAUGUUUGGCUACAGCGCUGCUAAGUGUGAAGAUCCCUGUUGUAAAUUACUCCCUGGCUGCAUUUCUGGAAUGUGCCCUGCAUGCGAAUGUAACAGACAAUUUGUAGUAAAACACUUUUUGUCACAAAAUACUUCUCCGUGCGUCUUUUUGAUCAUUUUCUGACCAGUCCUAAGUACUCACCUUGUAACUAAAAGAACAAGCUUAGCAUUAUUGUUCACUUUCUGCUGAGGAAAGACCUAAACCUGGAAGGCUUCUCCAAUUUUUGCUGUUUCUAUACUCCCAAUGCACACAGUGGCAACCACUGAGCAGUAUCCAAAAGACUUCUGUGGGGUUUUUUUCCCAUCUAAAUGACCCGAGCGUUUGAGAUUAUUAUCACUUCAGUGAGUGUUAAUACAAACACAAAGCAGCAGAGGCUGAAGAGCUCCCCAGAGCAUUCCCCUCCUGUAACAGCUCCAUGUGUCAGGCAGACAUAGGCACUUUUCCUCAAACCACAAAGCUGUUGCUGGACCUCUGCUCCUUUCCUGCUGCUGAGCAGCCCUGGGUGUCAUCGGUGUCCUUUCCAUUUCCCUUGGGUGCUGCCAAAUGAAGGAUUUUGUGGGCAGAUAAAGCAGAAUGGCACUGCCUGGAUCUUGCAGACAAGGCUGCAUUCUGUUCCCAGCUGUUGCCUGGAAUUGUUGAGUUUGAGUAGGAUGGUGCAGGAGCUGGUCGUCAGAGUGCAGCACAGGUCUGGCAGAAGGUGCUAUUUGAGAACAGAAUAAGAAUUAGGCAUAAUUAUUACUAUUAUUUCUGAUUUUACCCGAGUUA